Molecule: ribosomal RNA, 253 nt
Filed under: uncultured bacterium
Lineage: Bacteria
Description: partial 16S ribosomal RNA
Rfam family: Bacterial small subunit ribosomal RNA
Source: RNAcentral
UACGGAGGGGGCAAGCGUUAUUCGGAAUUAUUGGGCGUAAAGGGCGCGUAGGCGGCGUGUCAAGUCAGGCGUGAAAGCCCCGGGCUCAACCUGGGAACCGCGCUUGAGACUGGCAUGCUCGAGUUCGGGAGAGGAUGGUGGAAUUCCCAGUGUAGAGGUGAAAUUCGUAGAUAUUGGGAAGAACACCGAUGGCGAAGGCAGCCAUCUGGACCGACACUGACGCUGAGGCGCGAAAGCGUGGGGAGCAAACAGG